CCUACGGGGGGCAGCAGUGAGGAAUAUUGGUCAAUGGGCGCGAGCCUGAACCAGCCAAGUCGCGUGAGGGAAGACGGCCCUACGGGUUGUAAACCUCUUUUGCCGGGGAGCAACGGGCGCCACGUGUGGCGCCACUGAGAGUACCCGGAGAAAAAGCAUCGGCUACCUCCGUGCCAGCAGCCGCGGUAAUAGGGGGGUUGGGAGCGUUAUCCGGAUUUAUGGGGUUAAAAGGGUGCGUAGGCGGUGCGUUAAGCAAGUGGUCAAAUUGAGGGGUCAAACCCCUUCCCGCCAUUGAUACUGGCGCCCUUGAGUGGAAGAGAAGUAGGCGGAAUGCGUGGUGUAGCGGUGAAAUGCAUAGAUAUCACGCAGAACCCCGAUUGCGAAGGCAGCAUGCCGGCUUCCGACUGACGCUGAAGCACGAAAGCGUGGGGAUCGAACAGGAUUAGAUACCCUAGUAGUC
Molecule: ribosomal RNA, 460 nt
Filed under: uncultured bacterium
Lineage: Bacteria
Description: partial 16S ribosomal RNA
Rfam family: Bacterial small subunit ribosomal RNA
Source: RNAcentral